UUCUUCCCCGUCGAAUCGCCAGGGGGAGAACCGAGAGAAAACAAGGGUCAGAUGGGAGCAGAGCACGGUGGUCGAGAUCGAUAAAAGAGAAAGAAAAGCUUUUCUAUAUUCUUCUUUUUUACUUUCUUUGCUGUUUGUUUCCCCGAUCGAUCCCUCCUUGUCGUGGUCUCCUUCUUGUUUCUUCUUCUUCUUCUCUUUUGUUCUUUGGCUCCCCGGUGGUGGGACUGACGUAACGGCGGAGUAGAAGGAGAGAUGAGAGCGGUGAGCGGCGUUGGACGAUUCGUGGCUCGCCAAAUGCGUGGGCAGCGCCGCCGCCGUCGCAACCAUCGCAGGCCCCUGCGCCCGCAUCGGAGGGUCAGUUGGAGAAUUAUGUAUGGGCGACGCAGGACUUUUCAGAGCUAUAUGCUUUUGUCAUAGUUCUUGCAUGUCUGCUGAGAAAAUUGUUUGCGAGGUAGCCUUAUAAAGAACAUCAGAACCGUGUGAUUGUUAUCGUGUUGCAUGUUUCUUUUAUCUCUCACAUGGAAAGCACUGUCUUCUUCCCAUGAUUCUUCUACAGCAAUCAGGAUCACAGUCAAUUAACCCUGGUGAGACUAUCUGGAGACUGGAACGAGUAUAUCACAUAGGUGCAAGCAAUGCUAAGGGGUAACUGUCAUGUCCUUUGAAAAUAUUUUAUUAAAGAAAAAAUCAAAGACAGGCCAGGUAUUUUUAACUUGUAAUUGGAGAAUUAGUUGUUGUUUUCAAAAUUUUCUUUUUUGGAAUUUUGGGUGAAUCUUUCAUUCAUUUUACAUUUUUACAUAAACAUAUUCUGCAAUUUGCUUCUAACUAGAAUUCUAUCAUUAUGUUUUACUGCAUAAUAGAUGUCCUAACUUCCAUUCUUUCUAUUUCUGAUUUAUGCUUGCAUUUUCUUCCAUGCAAGUACUGCAUAAUCUGAGGCAACAGUUUCAACAAAUGUUCUUGGAGUCAGGUUUAGAACCAAAUUAGUUUUAGACUUACAAUCAGUUUCUCUUGAUAAAGCAAAGCCUGUGCAUUAUAUGUGGCAGUUUUGCAACAUUAUUUCUCCUGAACGAAUAGAUGGAUUACCCAUUUCUUACGUUAGAGUACUCUGCAGCAUGUUAAAUGAGCGUCUGUAAUCUAUGUGAGGUAUCUGAACACUGCUUUGUUCAUGUUGGCCAACUCUACAGUUGUUCGCUUGCUCUGCUUUAAACUAAAUUGUUGGCUCUACUGAAUCAUAUUUAUAUUUAUGCCUCUGAUUGCUCAAGGAUAUAAGCAUCACCCUUCACAAACACAUGGAAAUUGUGUUACUGUAUCCUCUUACACACAUCUGCCAAGUUCUUGCUAGAUCUGAACUUCUAGUAGCUGGCCAUCACUAAGUAUGAAUGUAUGCCCUUAUUAUAGUAGCCUAAUCUGUUUGUUCAUAUACACUCUGGUAAUAGAAUUGCGAGAAAAUAUGGCUGAUUCAAGUCACUUUAGACAGCAUUUCUGGUCAUGUUGGCUUCCUCUUAUCAGACUGGAUGGUGUAGGAAAUAAAAAAUGGAUAAAAUUUUGUGAUCUUAUGAUUCAGAUUGUCAUUCCAUGGCUAUAACAUGGAGUUAGAGCUAUUCUUCGAUUUUGCUUGAUAGAUGUUUAGAUAACAUGUCUGAUUCAGAAGUUUCUUUAUGAUUGAUAGAUGUUUUAUUUUGACAAAUUUAAUAAGCAGUGGACGACAAAUGAAUGUUAUUUAUACUGCCACCAUGAUGCUUCAGAUUAAGCAACUGCAUCCCCCCAAAACGAGGCAUCAAGCUAGAGUAUAUGUAUGAUAAUAAAACUAGCAACUUGUCUUAUAUCAAAUCAAGGAAGUAAAUUUGCAACAUGCAAGCACAUAGCAAGUGAACAUUGGCAUGUAAACUAAUUGAGGACAAGCCUCUAAGCAACUUGAAAUUAUACAGUUUGGAAAUUUUCCUAAGAGUUGUGCAGGAUAGUUACAAUAUAAAGGUACCAUAUUUUGGUACUUGCAGUCUUGGUUUCUCAUUGCACACACUUGUUAGAAUUUUGAAGCAGAUCUUUGUUGCCCUGUGAGUUAGAUUAUGGUACCAGAAGAUAGUGUAUGAGAGUGGUCUGGUGGUUCUUUGACAAAAGAUGUCUUGGUUCCAAAGCUGGUAAUUCUCCAAAUUAAUUUGAUUAUGAUCAUUCCACGAAAAUACAGAUUGUGCCAAAAAGAUUAAAAAUAAAUUUUCUUCUUUUUCUUUAUAAAUUUUUCUUUCUAUUUUUAUUAGAAAAUGAAGAUGAAAUAAUUAUAAUGGAUUUAAAAUGAAAAUUUAUUCUUAGAUAAAUCAAUUAUGAAAUUCUUUUGUAGAGUGUCUGAUAUCUCUUUUACAUCUUCUAUGCGAAAAUAUUCAAUUCUCAUAAGAUCUUCUUGACUCUUAUUCAAAAGGUCCAACAAUGUGUGUAUAUUGGACCUUUUGAGACAAUUAUAGGUCCUGGAAGGUAAUUCUGAUUGGUCAAUAAAAAUACAUUUCUGUACAUUCAAUAUACUCUACGAAUAGAGGAAUACAUAGAGUUGAACAAAGUAAAAUAAGAAAUUGAAAAAUUUUGUUGAAAUUGUUCGUUUGGAAAUUUUCCGAAAAGCUAAUUAUAGGUUCUUUUCUCCAUCGGAACAAUAGGGCCGUUAUGCUUAUUGCUAAACUUGUUGAAGAGAUGAAAUAGAACCAAGGCCUAUCCUUUUGAUCAAAGGUUGAAUCGAUCAUUAGAAGAAGAAUUAGGCCAAAAAUUAGGAUACAUUAUGGGAAAAUGAAACUUCCAUGGAAGAGACCUUGUUGAAUAAUAUUGGGCAACCAGUAACAUCAAGGCAUUUGAUGGAUCUUGGAGCUGUGCAGAACAUAUGGACAAAUUUGUACCGCGCCAUCCAUACACAAAGGUAGGACACGCUGUGCGGUAGAAAUCAAUAAAUAAGGAGCAGGACAACGGAUUGCAGAGGCACAAUUUGGAUGUAUGUAAUCUUUUUACAAGAGAAUCCUCUGAGUUCUGUGCAAGUUAUCAUGCCUGCUCUAUCAAAAAACCAGCCCAUGCAGGCAGUGAAGCAAAGUCCUAUUUGUGUUAGUCCUCAGAAAACUCAUUCAGAUCUAUGAAGGGGAAAAGAAAUUGUCGAUCAUCAUUUGGACAUUGAUGGUGUCAAUCACACCGGAAUGUGUGCAGAUCAAUCUGUUGCCUUGCCAUGUUUCUGGGCCAACAAUUCUGUAAGCCACUUUGGUGAUGUCAGCUGUAAUGACUUCCCAUCUGAAGCAUCUCUAGCUGAUAGGUAUGGUGCUUCAAACAUCGAAUUGAGGCUUGGUCAGCCAUCUCAGGAAUGCCCUAUUUUUGCAAGUUCAUAUUCAACAUGUGUGAUGGAAUUUGGAGCUACCUGUAACUCAGAGAAGCCACAAUUGCAUCAGGAACUAAAGCAACAAGGUAAAACCGAUCAGCGACAUUCUUUUUUUUUUUGGUUUUUGUUCAUGAUUCAGCAUCAUGCCUAAAUGAUCUGGCUUUUUAACUCGUAGAUGACACCUAUUUUUGCAAAUCUAUACGAGUUUCUGGAUUAUUUUUAUACUUAAAUGGAAGAGAGCAUGAGGAUUCUACACCACUUUAUAGGAAUAAAUGAAGUGCAAGUGAAAAUGUAUGAAGUUGCCAUGAUAUUUAGAUUGCAAUGCUGUAUAAUCAUGUAGAGAUUUUCCUCUUAUAGUCAAAAGAUAUGCAGGAACAUCAGUGAAACACUGCAAUUUUAUAUAGAACUGUCAUUUUUAGAAACAAAGUACAAAAUUGUUGUACAUCAUAUACAAUGAAGAGGGUUCAUAUUCAAAUUUGCAAAACAAUUAUUUGAGUUCUUAAUGACCCAAGCUUUUACAUUGGCAUUCAAGUGUUAUGAGGAUGUUUAAUCAUAUCUUCCAAUGUAAGGUGAAAAUAAGGGUUGCAUAUUAUUUAACAAAACCCUCAAUUUUUCAAGAUGCCCGGAAAGGUUUGGGGACUGUAAGUGUAUUACAUCCCAUGCUCUCUUACACACUUCAACUAUAUUCUUCGAUCUUUUGCAACCCAUCUGGUUUAGCAACUUUCACUGACCUAUUGUGGCAUGCCGUUAGCAGUUGGAAUGUCCCGUGCAUCAAUCACAUUGAGAAUUCUCUAUAUGAUUACCUUCUAUAGGAAAUCUUCACUGAAGAUGUACAUUAUCCUAUUAUCUAUUAAUUUUUGGAGUCUCACUGUGCCUAUGGUGAUUGCAACUUUUUAUGGGCUAUGAGUUAGCCAUUGAAAUGUCUUAGCGAUGUCUUUGAUCACUUAAAUGUCUUAGUGUUUUUGUGUUGUCGGAAGUAAUAUAUUCGUUACAAACAAUCAAAGGGAUGGAAGCAUUUGGUAGUACAAAAAUCAGGGAUUCAUGCUUUAGGUCUCUAUGCAUCACAGUUUAUUGCAUGUGGAUCUUUGGUUACUAGCUGCAAACUAAUUUUAACCGCAACCCUCCUACCUCCACCACAACCCUCGUACUUUCACCACGGCCCUCCGCAGCCCUCUUACGUUCACCGCAGCACCCCAUCUUCCCCCCUCUUCCCUCUUUUUCCCUCUUUCCCUCUUCCCAGUUCACUGCUGCUAGGAGUUCAUGUUCACUGCUGCAAUAAUUCGCAGCAGCCCCCCAUCUCCCCCCUCUUCCCUCUUCCCCUCUUCCCUGUCGCAUUAGUUUACUGCUGCAUUAAUUUGCAUGAAUUCAUUGGGUCUGUGCAUUUUUUUGUAUGAAAUCAUUAGGAGGUAGAGGUACUGUGCAUGCAUAAGAUACAGCAACAGCAGCUGCCUUCUUUGCUGUAGUGAAUAAGGAUAAUACGGAUUAUUAUUGCUAUUGCCGUAGUAAUUAGUAUUACUUUUUAGUUUUUGGAUUGACAAACUCAAAAAAGGAUCCUGCAUGAAAGUAUAGUUAUUUAAAGGAUCCUAACAAUUUAAAAUCUUUUGGUGGAAAUAAAGAAAAAUAUAAGGAUGUCUUUGCAAUCAUUGAUAAAAGAUAAGAAUGUCAACUUUAUCAUCCACUACAUUCGGUAGGACAUCUUUUAAACCUAUAAUUCUUUUAUAAGAACCCUUCAAUUGAGUUUGAUUUAGAAAUUGCAACUAGGUUAUAUUAGUGUAUUGCAAGAUUAGUUCCAACAUUGAAGUUCAAGACAAGAUCACAAAUGAGAUAUCAUUAUAUAAGAAUGCUGAGGGUAUGUUUGGAAUUCCUAUGGCAAUAUGAUCAGGGGCGACUAAGUCUUUAGGUGUUUGUAAUUUUAUAUAAUUAACAUUAUGUAAGUUUUAAAAAUAUUUAUUAUUAACAGUUGAACUUAAAUUUGCACCUGAGUGGUAAGGUUUAUUUGGAAAUAUUAUACCAAACUUACGGCGAUUAGUCAUUAAAAUUUUGAGUUUGACUUAUAGUGCUACAGGUUGUGAGCGAAAUUGGAGCGUUUUCGAGAAUGUAAGUAUCUAAGAAUAUUUUAAUUUUAAUUAAUUAUUUAUUUUUUUUAUAUAUUGAUAUAACUAAAUGAAUUCUUAAUUUGUAUUUUAUAUAUGACAGAUUUAUACAAAGAAAAGAAAUCGAUUGGUACGUCGAUGAUUACAUGACCUUGUGUACAUCAAGUAUAAUCAAACAUUAAAAGCUCAUUAUAAUUCAUGAGAUAAGAUUGAUCUGAUAUCAUCAGAUGAUAUAGAUGAUUCAAAUGAAUGGUUGGUGAGGGAAUUGAGUACAAAUUUGGAAAAUGCUGAAGAUGGUCUUGUUUUUUAUAUGAUAAUUUGACAUAGGGAGAUAUAGUAAGGGCUUCAAGAGUUGGAAAAAUAAAGAGUUACACAAGACAACUCCUGAGAACAAAGAUGAAUGCAAAAGCCUCAAGCUCAUCGAUUGCAAUUGUGGAAGAGGAGGAAGAAGCAGAAUAUAAAUCACCUACAGAGGAAGAUGGUAACAAGAUUGAAGAUGAUUUGGAUUUUAAUGAUCUUUUGAUGUUAAUCUUGUUUUAUUUUGUCAGUUUUGCUAUUGGAUAUGAAUAAUGUAGUUUGGUACUUUAAAUGACUGCAAGUUUGAUGUGUUACUUUAGUUGUGUUACAUUAGUUUUAGUUUGAUGUUAAUCUUGUUUUAUUUUGUCA
Musa acuminata AAA Group (dessert banana) is the source of this 6096-nucleotide long non-coding RNA. RefSeq lists it as uncharacterized. Lineage: Eukaryota; Viridiplantae; Streptophyta; Magnoliopsida; Zingiberales; Musaceae. The transcript has 2 exons. The record is from RefSeq and is a predicted model, not a curated record.